RNAcentral lists this long non-coding RNA (470 nucleotides) under Homo sapiens (human). RNAcentral describes it as "mir-99a-let-7c cluster host gene". The record is from RNAcentral. Lineage: Eukaryota; Metazoa; Chordata; Mammalia; Primates; Hominidae.
AAAAGCCAGAAGACAUCUAGGACAUCCAUAAAAAUUCAUCAGAGAGCAUUUUACUACUGAGCUGCAAAGGGAAAAACUUAAAAUGGAUAUGAAAAGUGAAGAAAGUGAUCAUAGGAGAAAACCAUUUCAGGUGUCUGAUGAUUUGUGAGCCUCAAGUGACUACUCUGUGGAAUCAUCUGUCCUUGCCUUUGAAUUAGCUUUCCCUAGGCCAUGAGUCAACAUUAGUAGUUUAUACAUCCAAAUUGUUCUCUCUGCUGGCUCUGCCUCUCCCUCUCACCUGAUAUGUUCUCCCUCUUUCUUUCUCUUUCUCUCCAGUGUUGACUUCAUUCUCAGAUGACAAGAGCACCUCAAAGGCAGCAGCCUCAAGGAGCAGCCAUGGCCCCAGACUUGUCGCACGGAUGCAGAAAACUUAAUGGAGGAGGCUGAGGUCAGAAUGGGAAGAGUUUUUAAAAAAUAAAAAGGGGAGCUAA